This 74-nucleotide transfer RNA is filed under the name Anaerocolumna aminovalerica. RNAcentral's name for it is "tRNA-Glu". It matches the Rfam family "tRNA". From Rfam's summary of the family: Transfer RNA (tRNA) molecules are approximately 80 nucleotides in length. Their secondary structure includes four short double-helical elements and three loops (D, anti-codon, and T loops). The record is from RNAcentral. Lineage: Bacteria; Bacillati; Bacillota; Clostridia; Lachnospirales; Lachnospiraceae.
GGCGCAUUGGUCUAAUUGGUAAGGAUAUGGGACUUUCAAUUCCAUGGUAUCGGGUUCAAAUCCCGUAUGCGUCA